CUAUCCAUACUCAAGUAUGAGAUUUUGAUCUCAAUUAAUUUUUAGAUGUAAUUUAAAUAUGAAUUAGAUAUGAUUUAAUUACACUUAAAUAUGUUCUGUACUUGUUGAAUUUUAGAUUUCAGAUGUAUAUACAUCUAUAUUAGUUUAUGUCACAGAUCCUGUAUGGUGAUUUAAAUUUGAUUUAUGCAUGCAUUAUAGAUUAAAUU
This 206-nucleotide long non-coding RNA is filed under the name Elaeis guineensis (African oil palm). RNAcentral's name for it is "long non-coding RNA (EGUI_LNC066413)". Lineage: Eukaryota; Viridiplantae; Streptophyta; Magnoliopsida; Arecales; Arecaceae. The record is from RNAcentral.